Molecule: ribosomal RNA, 382 nt
Filed under: uncultured eukaryote
Lineage: Eukaryota
Description: partial 18S ribosomal RNA
Rfam family: Eukaryotic small subunit ribosomal RNA
Source: RNAcentral
UGUAAGCGUAUACCAAAGUUGUUGCAGUUAAAACGCUCGUAGUCGGAAUUUGGCAGUUCCGGAUGUGUGCACGUCGUGUGCGCACUUCGCGGGGAUGGCUUUUGUGGUCUUGCGUAGGAUGAGGCACUUUUAUUAGUGAACGUCCUCACGCAACCACUUUUUACUGUGAGAAAAUCAGAGUGCUCAAAGCAGGCAUUUGCCGUGAAUGUAUUAGCAUGGAAUAAUAGAAUAGGACUUGGUUCUAUUUUGUUGGUUUGUUGGGACUGAGUAAUGAUUAAGAGGGACAGUUGGGGGCAUUUGUAUUUCGGUGCUAGAGGUGAAAUUCUUAGAUUACCGAAAGACAAACUGCUGCGAAAGCGUCUGCCAAGGAUGUUUUCAUUGA